Molecule: ribosomal RNA, 377 nt
Filed under: uncultured bacterium
Lineage: Bacteria
Description: bacterial SSU rRNA
Rfam family: Bacterial small subunit ribosomal RNA
Source: RNAcentral
UAAAACGUAGGAAGCGAGCGUUAUCCGGAUUUACUGGGCGUAAAGCGCAUGCAGGCGGUUCCACAAGUUAGACUUGAAAGCUCCCGGCUUAACUGGGAGAGGCGGUUUAAGACUGUGGGACUAGAGGAUGGACGAGGAGAGCGGAAUUCCCGGUGUAGUGGUGAAAUGCGUAGAUAUCGGGAGGAACACCAGUGGCGAAAGCGGCUCUCUAGACCGUACCUGACGCUCAGAUGCGAAAGCCAGGGGAGAGAACGGGAUUAGAAACCCCGGUAUUCCUGGCCGUAAACGAUGUUAACUAGGCGUCGCGGGUGUCAAAGCCUGCGGUGCUGCAGCCAACGCGAUAAGUUAACCGCCUGGGGACUACGGCCGCAAGGCUA